This 304-nucleotide long non-coding RNA is filed under the name Phoenix dactylifera (date palm). RNAcentral describes it as "long non-coding RNA (PDAC_LNC007376)". The record is from RNAcentral. Lineage: Eukaryota; Viridiplantae; Streptophyta; Magnoliopsida; Arecales; Arecaceae.
GUCUGUUUCUCUAUUACUCUUUUGCAUUCUUUUUUCCAACCUAAACUUUUUCUCCUCCCUCUUCGACUACUUUGUUGAUUGCUAUGCUAAUUAUUUCACUGACUGAUAUAUCGACUACUUCAUUAAUUGAUACAUCGAUUGCUUCAUUAAUUGAUACAUUGACUGCUUCAUCAACUACCUCUUCAUAUUCCACAUAAACAUGAAAAAACUCUAUUAUAUCCAAUGCAAGCUCUAUCAUCACUUUAAGCUAUCUAUCUUCAAAUAGGAUCCUUAUUCCUUGAUUAUCAGUCAUUGAUCACAUCCU